CCCUCCUUCCCUCCUUUCCUCCUUCCGUCCCUCCCUCCUUUCCCUUCUCUCUAUUUCUGCCCAGCCUCUGUCCUGCUCCCUGCAUUCCAGCUUCACUGAGCUGCUGUGGUCCCUGAAAGACAUGGUCCCUCAUCAUUCCCCAUCUCCGAGGUCACCUGUCUGGGAUGCCCUUUCUCAUGCUCCCUCCUUCCUCCCUCUGUGCUGUGUCUUCUGAGACCGCCCUCAGAGGCCACCUCUCCGCAUCCCUCCCUGACCUGGAGGACAUGUGCAUCCCUUCUCUGUGGCCACAUCACCACACAAAGACAGGGUUCUCUGCCCGAUGCCCGUAAAAAGCCAAUGAUCACACCACCAGCUUUUUCGAGGUCGGCCAGCCAGGAGGCGGGAGUCAGAGCUCUCAGAGGUCCAGGUGGUGGGUUGGUGGUCUCAACAGGCCUGAACUGGACAAGAGGCCUCUCAGUUCCUGAGACACAGCUCAGUCGCUCUUGGUAAGACGGUCAGUUUGAAUCGGUCCUGGUGGCCCGUGGUUACAGCCUCCCUGAGCUCUGGCCAUGGCCCUGUAUCCAGUUACUGGCGCUGGUCUGCGCUUACUCCGCUGUGUCUCUGCCCUUCUAGGAUACGGUGUGGACACUAGUUCAUACCUCCAGCUUCUCCUAGUACCGUGCCCAGGCUGGCAGACACAGUGGACACUUGCCGCCCAACUGACACGCUGAGGGUCGGAUGUGCCGCAUUUGCAGGUUACUGCCUGUUCCCUGUCAGAGGCAACAAAGCUGCUAGAGGUCGAGGAGGGCGUGGGUGUUGUGUAGACUGCGCUCGGGCUGCAGACGUGCGAGGACGGGCCCUGGGUGGUGCUGACAAACGAGGGGAACGAUUGAGUUCUGAGGGCUUUAUAAACACCCAGUAGAAGAUGUAUCGCCCCAGAUACGGUUUGUUUCUUAGUGAAAGUCAGCUCUAUGAAGGUGUAACUUCCGUACGAUAGAACACAGGCAUGUUAAGUGUGCGUCUGGUGAAUUUUGGAACAUGUCAGCACCUGGGUGGCCACGACCCCCAUUGAGAACUGGACUAUCUCGGCGUUAACCAGAUCUCCUGAAAUUCUCCAUCUGGCACAGGGUCCGCCUGCCCCACCUGCAGUGGGUCCUGUGCUUUGGGCUCUGGCCCCCGUGGGAGCAGCUGCAGUGGACGCUAGGGGGACACCAGGCUGGUCUUCAUCAGUCACAGAGACCACUCUCUGUCCAGAAGUAGGAGUGUGUGACACCUCUAUCCUCGUCACGCCUACGGCUGACCUCGACCGGUAACCACAGCCUGCGGUGCUCACAUUCCCAGGAGACAGCCCAGCAGUCCCGUCCCAGUUUGUCAGGAUUGCCCACCACGCACACGCUUCUCCUGUGUCUAGGUCCCAAUUCUGGCACAGGACGCACCACAGUGCUGCCACGUUCCUCCUCCUCUGGUCCCAGGCUUGGCACUGGCCACCCCACAGCAGCAUGUCUGUCAUGGUCUCCAGCUCAGCUGUGCUGGCUUGUGUUGUAUCACAGCUCUGCCCGAUCUUACAUACUUAUUCUAAAUCUCUCCUCCAAAUCAGGAGAGUACCUCGAAUAAGGAGGGGUCUCCAAUGGUUUGAGAGUCAGAGUUGCUUUGGAAACUAGAUGCAGGCCCCCCCGAGAGGCUCCAGUCCUGGAGUCCCCACAUGUCAUCCCGUGUUCAGAGAUGCGGGCACUACAGGCCUGAUGGGAGGGAGUGGCUGCCGUCCCUAGAUGUCCACCUGCGCUGCCCUCUCCCUGCUGGAGAGAGUGCCUUAGGGCAGAUGCUGUGACGAAGGUCAAAGUGACCUCUGCGUGUGAUGUCUGCCACUGGUGGCCCCAGUUGCGUAACUGCAAAGAGAACCCCAAGGAAGGGAGGGAGUCGCCCCAGGAUGAGGCGCCUGGUAGUUGCUCCUCUGGGUUGGCCCAUGGGCAAGGGACUCCCUGCGUGGUGGGUGUGGGGUUCCUGCCAAGUCACCGCCCAUAAGGCGUUAAUGAGGCGUUUGAGAUGAGGCCCCUAGUCUGGGGGUCUCCCCUUACUGGAGCCCCCUGAUCUGAAACUCCAAGGGGCCCUCCGGGGUCAGCUCCCUGUGGCCCCUUGUGUGGCACUCCAGGUGUCUCUGUGCACACUCGCCUCUGUGCUCUCCUGACCCCUGACCUCUGGACUGCGAAUGUGCAGGGAUGAACAUGGUGCGAGCCCAGAGCAUGGAGCAGCUGUGAAGGGACAGGCCUACAGGCCUGAUUCCCGAGCCUGGCAGGGCCGGCAGAGGAUCAAGAGCAGGCAGAGCCGAGCUGAGCCCUGACCCAGAAGGGAGAGGAGCGUCCCACUCCAGCAUGAGGGACCCCAUCCCCCCAGGGCGUGGCUGCUCCAGCCCUCCCUGCAGUUCAUUCUUUUAUCAGCAAAUGUCCCUGCAUGGGGCUUUGGGGAGAGCUGCUCUCUGGUUCCUGGGAGGUGCUCCCUCCGGGCACCCCUGGGUCCUGGCGUGGCCCCGAGAGGCUCAGAAUCACCCAGCAUUGUGGGGCUGGAGUCUGGAGCUCAGCCUCUCCCUCAGGCCUCCCUCAGGGGUCCUCUUGCCUCAGCUCACUUGAGAAGGCCAGUCCUUCCAGGUCUCCCAGGGCCUCCAGUGGUGUCAGAGCCUGACACUGGCCAGAAACCCCUCCCACGAAGAGACGCCAGGUGAGCGUCAACUCCAGCUACCCGGAACACCAGCCGGGCUCCAUCCUCUGCACCCUGUGAGUGGGGGUCUGCCUGGGGCUGCAGGCCCAGUGCGGGGCAGUGUCCGGCCUGAGAUGAGCAGACAGGAGGGCCACCCCGGCCCGCAGAGCAGCAGCUGUCUGCCCGCGCCUCGUUGCCUCUCGUGCAGGUGGCUUCACCCACACGUUGCACCGUGUGUACAGGGAGACAGUGGCGCUCUCCCGUGUGCACACACCACUCCUUCAGAAGCAGCACGUGCCCUUGAGCCUGACUCCGUCCCCAGGAGCCCGUGGAGGCACAGCAGGGCCUCUGGCCACCGCAGCAGGAGGAGCUGCAGCCUCUCUGUCAGCUGGUGGUGUCUCAGGGAAGCAGUGCAGAUGGGGUCUCUGGACCUGCUGGGGGCCUGGAGUGGUUUCUGAGCCCCAGGGAUGGUGAGAAGUGAGGUAGGAGGCCGGUGGAGGGAGGAACAGAGAUCCCAGGCUGGCAUUCGCAUCAGUGACCAGCCCUGCAGGCAGCUGUGGUCGAGGGCGCGCGUCUGACUGGAGCAGGUGCAGGGGUGAAGUUCUCUCAGGCAGACAAGCAUUCAGUCCCGUUUUCCCAGGUGUACUUAGCACGUCGGCACCUCUGCUAAUGGCAGCAGCUCCCUGCCCAGCCAGGGGACCCACCCGGAUGAUCCCCUCCCCCCUGGGCCCAGUGGGCAUCCUGCCGGAGAACUGGGGCCAGUAGGCUCCUGGGGUCCCCAGUGCCCCUGCCCAUCGGCCCAGAGAAAGGAGGGCUGGAGAGGGCGGGUUCCUGGCCUCUGCUGGCUGGGCCUGUUAGAAUUCAAGGGUGGGCCGUCUUCUGUGUUUCAGGCUCCAGGACACUCAGGGUCAUCAACUUUGUUAAAUUUCUAAUCAGAAAAGUUCUGACUCUAGCACGACGGUGUUUCCCUUUCAUACAGGAUCAUGAGCCUCCCAGGUGAUGGUGAAAAUUGUAAAAUUUUAUUUAAAAUACAUUUAUUCCUUCAUUAUGAAAGUAACAGAGAGAAGGAACACAUUUCUGAAGCCAACAUGGUCUGUUAGUUAAUUAAAAUUAUAAAGUUUAAAAUGGUGAAAGUGAUAAUAAAAAAUAAGGAAGCAGACAUACUUUGCAUAUAUUUUUAACUUAAAACUUAUAAAUAUGCAUUAAUUCUUAAUAAGUUCAUGAGAUUUACUUUUCAUACAAUGAAAUCUUCAGAUUCUGACUGUACGUGCUGAUAAGUUCUGAUAAAGGUGCACAAUCAAUGGAGAUGCAUCAAGUUUCCAUCACGCUAGAAAGGCCCCUCUCCCCUCUGGUCAAUAUCCCACCCGGGGCCGCCUCACACCCAGAGUGACCUCACAACCAGGGCCACUGCUCACCUAGGGCCACUGCACAACCAGAGCCACAGCACACCCGGGGCCACAGCACACCCAGAGUGACCUCACAACCAGGGCCACUGCUCACCCGGGGCCACCACACACCCAGGGCCACAGCACACCCGGGGCCACAGCACACCCAGAGUGACCUCACAACCAGGGCCACUGCUCACCUAGGGCCACCGCACACCCAAGGCCACCGCACACCCAGGGCCACAGCACACCCAGAGUGACCUCACAACCAGGGCCACUGCACACCUGGGGCCACUGCACACCCAGAGUGACCUCACAACCAGGGCCACUGCUCACCCAGGGCCACCGCACAACCAGGGCCACAGCACACCCAGAGUGACCUCACAACCAGGGCCACUGCUCACCUAGGGCCACCGCACAACCAGGGCCACAGCACACCCAGAAUGACCUCACAACCAGGGCCACUGCUCACCCGGGGCCACUGCACACCCAAGGCCACCGCAUACCUGGGGCCACCCUCUGCUUCCUCUGUCAUCGUUUGGGCAGCUCUGGCCUUGACUGUAUUUUCGUGUAGGGUGGAGACUAGUCAGCCGGUCAGGACUGGAGUCUUAUUUUCAUUUUUGGUAUAAACCACGUGCUUACUUCAUCCCCUAAGAUACCCACUUUUGGUACUUUUUUUUAAGUACCAGGACUGAGACUUGAAUAUGUUUGUAAAGUCACCUGAGACCAGAAAUCUUCCAAAUUUUCACAAGUUGCUUUUCGUAUUUUGAGGUAUCUUGUCUGCAGCUAAUUCAAAAGCAAUUUUUAAAGUGACUUCACUUGCCUUUGUCUUGAUUUCCCAAACUGUGUAUUGUAGAAACGACUUUCUCUCCUUUUACACGAUGCGUAGCUGGUUUAUGUAACGUUUGGUCAAGUUACGCGGUAGAGCAAGAGCAAGUGGCGUAGAUGGGUGGGCGCGACCUGACCGCGUGGUUGGUGUCACCCCCACUGACACCUGCGUCUUACCGGGCUGCUGAGCCCCGAGACCAGAGCCGCCUGAGCUGGUGGAGCAGAGGUUGGUGUGCGAUAGGUUCUCGCACACAAAUGAAUAACAACAGAUGGGAACACACACACUGGUCCUACACUCCGAGGCAUCUCUGCACAACGCCUGCCGUGUGGUUUCCCAGCCUCACGUGUGUGUGUGUGUGUGUGUGUGUGUGUGUGUGUACGGUUAGCCUUGCUGCAGGGCCCAAGGGAGCCGCCUGUGCCCCCAAAACUGCCUUCGCUCUGACAGUGACCACACGGAAUGAGGUUCUCUGCCCGGUGCACAUAAACAGCCACUAGUCGGGCAUCAGCCUUUGCGAAGAGACCAGCUUUAUUCUGCGAGGCCGACCUGCAGGGAGGCAGGGGGCCCUCAUCUGUCUCCCCAGAGCAGGAUUUGGGGUGAAAUUUAGGGGGUCUAGACAACAGUUAGGCACGCGCAAACUCUGGGGGGACGGGUUUCCAUUGCUGGGCUUCAAGCAUUUAUGACGGGGUUCUAACUGUUUACGACGGGGCUCUAGACAUUCUCUGUGAAUUUUAACACUGGAUCUUCCUGAACCAGGGCCCUCGCUUCUGAUGAGAGCCCGACCUUCAAACUCCGGUCGCAUUCUGUCCUUGGGUUCCGUGGGAAGGGGGAUCUUCGGUUCCACGGUCAUUUCAAGUCAAGAUUUCCUCUUCUGCGCGUGCUCUGGCCACGUGACUUGGCACGUUUCCUGUUUCCUGAAAGGCGAUUCUCAACCUCUCUGUUGAUAAGAGAUGGCUCAGUUGACCUGGUGCUGGCGGGCCUGCGGUUACACCGCCAGCCGCAGGCUCGGGAUCCCCAAGGCGGUGCUUGGUGUGACAGCUCUCUGGAAGGGCCUGGAGCUCGCUGAGAGCUGAACCACGCAUGGCCAUGGUUCGUCACAGGGAAGGGACACAGAUGAAAACCGGCUCAGGAGAGGCGCCCGGGCAGAGUCUGAGUCCCCAGAUGCGGAGCACCCCCCUUCUUCCCAGCUCACCCCACAGACACCUUCCUGGAACGGAACUUGGAUAGCGGCAUGUGGGUGUGGUUCCAGAUGCAGACUCUGAGAUGAGAUUUGUAUGAAGGACAUGCUCCCCGGAAACGUGGCUGGGAGUGGGGAGUGGACGGGGAUGGGGAGGAGGCGCAUGCAGGCCUGUGGAGGGACAAGGGCUCCAUCCCGUGGAGGAACUCCGGACUCUGCAGGUCAUGGCUCGCAGGUGUCCCCAUCUGGAGGUGAGUGGCUUUGAGUGUUUGUGCCCCUGCCUGGCAGUCACCUGUUAAGGGUUGUAAAUCGCGACAACCCCAGCCCUCAGGAGCUCAGGGAAGGGCCCUCCUGUGGCCGGAGGGCGGCCCUCUGUCAAAGAUCCCGAUGAUGCCCCAUGGGAGUGGGGUCCUAGAGCCCAGGGGUGUGAGAUGGCGGAUGGAGACCUGGACGCGCAUCUGUGGCCGUUAUCAUCAGAGACCCCGCAUCCAGAGGGGCUAAUGGUUUUCUCCUCAGACAAGUGAGGGCUCCUGGUGUGACUGUCCGACCUCACGUGCCAGUGGGGUCAGCACCCGGCCCAGAAGCAGCAGCUCAGCAGCCACCUGCCGUCACCCUCGCCCCGACUGUGGUCACAGUGUCCCCACACCUGGGCAGAGAUGGGGCAGUGUUUUCUCUCCUUCAGAUGCCGCCCAGGCCCAGGCUUUGCCCCAGAGCCUGGGGGCCGUGACAAGAUCACCACGGACUGCAGGACUGCCUGCUGUCUGCUCCAUCCCACACAGACUGUUCCCCCGUCCUCCCUCCUGUCUGGUUUGAGAUGCCAGCCUCCGUCAUCCUGACCCCCCAGUGGUCACAGCCCCGGCUUUGGGCAAAGAGCUUUUCGAGGCGGUGGUUCCACGUGGCCUCCCUGGAGAUGCCCUGAUGAGCCAUAGUCUCACUGUCUUCCUCAUAAUCUGCAGCCCGCUCAGAACAAAAUGAAAGGCCCCACUUUGCAUUUAUUCUCCUUUCUUCCCGGUCACCCCCCACUCCUGUUCCCCUGGAUUGCAGCCCGCACCCCACCCCUAGUAAUUGGUCCCGGCUCAGUUUUCCAAAGGACCCCCGGCCAGGGCACGAGGUGGCCUCACACAGCGUCCUGGCCACACAGACAGAACUGUGUUUGCUGUCAGCAGCCUGCUAGAAAAACUGUGAAAAAUGAAAAUGGGAAAAAUUGGAAAAACCACUGCUGUGUGUCCGGCUCCCCCUGGAUUGUGAUUCUACUGGGACCUGUGCCUUUCAUCCUCUUUGAGCUAUUUUACAACUCUCAGGCUGCAGAAAGCUUGAACUAAUGCAGAUAAUUCUUGCCUGUAGAAAUGCAAAUAAAUUUUGUCUGUUCAAAUGAAAUUGAUUAUCACCCUGUAGGGAUUGACCCAUUUCGCAUCUAUUUGUAAAUUUAUUUCAGCAUUUCUGAUUGUCUGCAUGUGAAUGGGUCUGGAUUCUGCUGUGAACUGGUUGUAACAUCUUACUGGUUCCCUCGUUAAUUCAUGAGUUAAACAAACUGCAACGUGUGCAUUUUAUGUUUGCAUAAGUCAUGAUUUUACUUUGAAAAGAAAUCACCCUUUCACAGUGCCCCCAACCCGUGCCUGGAGUCACCCUGGGGAAGGUUCAGGAGGCUCCUCAUUGCUUAUUUCUCAUUCAUGCAGAAGGCAGCACGUUCCGACUGUUCCCCAUCUUCUGACUUGUCCUCUAGCAAAGGGGGCGGAAUGUGUGACCCCGGAAAUGCCACUUGGGCGAGAUUGUUUGAGCUGAAGACCCUGGAAAAACAGCAGGUGCCAGAAGAGUGUUCUGAGCCCCCUUCCUUCCUGAGGGCAGGAGGUAAACCAGGGAGGAAGGUGUCGCCCCGCGCCGGGAGGAGGGAACCGUCAGCUCCAGAGGGGAGCCUCCGAGAAUUCUGUGCAGCUGACCUCACCAGAGUCACUCUCGUCUCCGUGCUCUCUCCAGGUGUCUCUGUUACUUUCCUCAAUCUCCUCUCCUCCUUCGACCCAGCGAAAAGCAUUUGGUUUUGCCGCUUCCCUGGGUCUCUAUCACCCUCAUGAGGCCCCCGUGUCACUAAAACUUACGCUACGUGAACCUGGAUGCUUUCCUCCAGCUGCUGUCUCAGCAGCUCAACUCUCAGGCCGCCGGGCCCCGCGAGGUGGAGGUGACGAUUUCCCUCCCCAACGCUGGGCUCUGCACACGACCAGAGUGGGGCCUGUCUGUCCCGCCUUUCACUGUCCCAGCUGGGGCUCGGAGUGCACCAUCAAUGUCCGUGGUGUCCGUCCCGGGCCCCGUGUCAACCCAACCCCAGGGGCCUGCACGUCUUCCCGUCUCCUCCUCGUGACCCCUUUCUUCGCGUUUGUGUCAUUCAGUCCACGGUUCGGCUUCUCAACACCCAUGUUUGUGGGUCCCUGAGUGUGGCCUUCACCUCAGGAUGGGACCCAAAGGAAAAAACAGGAAGGAUUUGUAAGUCUAACCUCACUUGAAAAUAGUACAUGAGCGACAAGCAGAUCACAGAGCUAUGACAGUUACGUAAGAAGUCCAGUACCUCAAUGAGUAAAGAGCUUUAAGAGACGAACAACAAAAUGGACCACAGGGCCUGGGCAUAAGUGUCACAAGGGAGGAAAAGACAAAUCGAAACACGUUCCUCUUCUCCCAUCAGAGGGCAGAGCUGCAGGGCCUCACCACCCUGUUGGCAGGAGAACCUGAAGGGGUGCGAAUGGGCCUCCCAUCUGCCCUGAGGUCGAGGCUGUCGCCUGCGUGGAUCUGGGCCUUGUCCUGCAGAGUCACUGGGAGAAAUACCAACCUCGUCCAAAAUAAGAGGACAGCGCCUCUCGUCCGGCUGCGGCCUCCUGAGCUUCUGGUGUCUCCUCUCUGUGUGCCCCCCGCGGGGCUCCAUCCCUGUCUCCUCGUCUGUCUGUCCAUCUGUCCUGCAGGCAGGGAGGCUGCCCUCACUCCCCCUUCUCCUGGCUCCUCAGUGGGCUCAGGGUCUGGCUUGUCUGUCCUGUGGGUUUGGCCUCUCCAGCCUCUUCCCGUUCUCUAUCCACCCUGACCCGGUUCCUCAGGAGACAAGGCCGGGGUGAGUGGUGGGGCCGGGGUCAGAGGGGUGGUGGGACCGAGGGCAUCUGUGCAAAAUCAACGUGUUGAAACGUCUAACUGCGUGUGUUCACUUUAUGUUUUUCCUCUCACCCUCAUUUCAAGUCUGUGGUUUUCGUAAUUCUGUGGUUCAAGGCUCGGACGUCUUAUAAAUCAGAAUUCCCCUGAGGUUAACGGGUACCAGACUCAUGAAAGGAAAACCUGGCGGGGGUCGUGCAGGGAGAGCCUUGGAGAAGCUCUGACCUAAAGACGCAUCCAGAGACCGUUUCUCACCAGCUCUGGGUAAUCAGCACAACCAGGGAAGAGGCCCCUCCCUGUGUCUCCCCAGACUUUCCCGGCCGCCAGAGACUAUCAACAUGCCGCUGUUUGCCCGGUAGUGUUAUUGUUUCCCUCUCUCCUUCUUCGUUUAUUAAUACGAAUUUUUCUGUGGGGAGACAGUGUUUCUUCUCCCACGUUUGCUUGUUUGAAUGUGUGUUUAUAUCGAUGUGGACUCAUGGACAUUCCAGUCUGUGGGUGGUGAUCCAACAGUGUUGUUAUUUUUUCCUCAGAUCUUUCCAGCUUUGCCAUUGGGAGCCCUGUCAGAUGCCUGAUAUUUACUGCGUGAUGUCCUCGGGGCCACCCUGCUUCCCAACGUCCCCUGGGCAGGCGAGAUGUGGGGUUGGUGUCCCCGGGGAAGAGGGAGUCAUCGGAUCCUGGCCCCUGGAGGGCGUUAUUGCACAGAGCCAAAAUCAAAAGACAAACACAGUGAUAACAAUGGCGCUAACAGUUUCCGUCUACUGAGUAUCAGGUGCCCUGAGCACUCGGGCACAUUUCUUACUAAACCUCACUUUACAUAAACCCACGGUCUCAGUUCCCUCAUCCUGGUUCUGCACAAGAGGGAACCGCGUCUGGGGCUGCAGGGCCUCAGCUCGGUUCAUCCGCCUGAAGGUGGGGGCUUCCUCCGUGGUGGUGGUUUCCACUGGGACCCUCGUCACCAUCACCGACACCAGCACUGACUGUGCCCCAGGUCCCUUAACACGCGCCCCACCCCAGGGGCUUGGGCAGCUGGUGAAGACAGCUUUCUGUGCUCACACUGGCACACGCUGCUGCCUGCUUCCUCGUGGACCUCGGAGCUAAAAAUAACCACGUGUUUUCUGUUUUAAUGGAAAAGAGGAAGUGUGCCAUUUAUUGCAUAACACUUACUAUUUUUGAAAACCCGAAUUUUUUCCACAUGUACUUUUAAAAAGUCCUUGGAGGAAAAGGCACAAAGUGGAUUUCACGGAGGGUUGCUCUCUUCGUAACCCAGAUCCUCAAGAAACAACUGAAUCAGACACGAGGCGGAGAUGGCAACCUUC
Molecule: non-coding RNA, 10497 nt
Organism: Equus caballus (horse)
Lineage: Eukaryota; Metazoa; Chordata; Mammalia; Perissodactyla; Equidae
Source: RefSeq, a predicted model, not a curated record